This 507-nucleotide ribosomal RNA is filed under the name uncultured bacterium. RNAcentral describes it as "bacterial SSU rRNA". It matches the Rfam family "Bacterial small subunit ribosomal RNA", at positions 15 to 507 of the family's 1533-position model. The record is from RNAcentral.
GAUCAUGGCUCAGGAUGAACGCUAGCUACAGGCUUAACACAUGCAAGUCGAGGGGAAACGACAUCGAAAGCUUGCUUUUGAUGGGCGUCGACCGGCGCACGGGUGAGUAACGCGUAUCCAACCUGCCCACCACUUGGGGGAUAACCUUGCGAAAGUAAGACUAAUACCCAAUGAUAUCUCUAGAAGACAUCUGAAAGGGAUUUAAAGAUUUAUCGGUGAUGGAUGGGGAUGCGUCUGAUUAGCUUGUUGGCGGGGUAACGGCCCACCAAGGCGACGAUCGGUAGGGGUUCUGAGAGGAAGGUCCCCCACAUUGGAACUGAGACACGGUCCAAACUCCUACGGGAGGCAGCAGUGAGGAAUAUUGGUCAAUGGACGCAAGUCUGAACCAGCCAAGUAGCGUGCAGGAUGACGGCCCUAUGGGUUGUAAACUGCUUUUAUGCGGGGAUAAAGUGUGGGACGUGUCCCAUAUUGUAGGUACCGCAUGAAUAAGGACCGGCUAAUUCCGUG